AACCUCCGCAAUGUGAGAAAUCGCGACGGGGGGAUCCCAAGUGCCAUUCUUAACGGGAUGGCUUUUCAUUAGUGUAAAGAGCUUUUGGAAUAAGGGCUGGGCAAGACCGGUGCCAGCCGCCGCGGUAACACCGGCAGCUCUAGUGGUAGCAGUUUUUAUUGGGCCUAAAGCGUCCGUAGCCGGUUUAAUAAGUCUCUGGUGAAAUCCUGUAGCUUAACUGUGGGAAUUGCUGGAGAUACUAUUAGACUUGAGACCGGGAGAGGUUAGAGGUACUCCCAGGGUAGAGGUGAAAUUCUGUAAUCCUGGGAGGACCGCCUGUUGCGAAGGCGUCUAACUGGAACGGUUCUGACGGUGAGGGACGAAAGUUAGGGGCGCGAACCGGAUUAGAUACCCGGGUAGUCCUAACUGUAAACGAUGCGGACUUGGUGUUGGGGUGGCUUUGAGCUGCUCCAGUGCCGAAGGGAAGCUGUUAAGUCCGCCGCCUGGGAAGUACGGUCGCAAGACUGAAACUUAAAAGAGUU
RNAcentral lists this ribosomal RNA (521 nucleotides) under uncultured bacterium. RNAcentral's name for it is "bacterial SSU rRNA". It matches the Rfam family "Archaeal small subunit ribosomal RNA", at positions 345 to 866 of the family's 1478-position model. The record is from RNAcentral.